UCAGUUUGCCACCAGAGCUCGUCUGGAGUACAACUAGUUUCGGGAAAAAAAACCAAAAAUGUAUAAAAAUUCAAAGUGUUUCUUUUACUAGAAAUAAAUCACCAUUUCAUUUUGUCUGAUGAAUUGAAAAAUGAAAUGGUUCAAAAUCCAAAGUAAAGAGAAGGAAUUUCCAUAGCUAACGUGGUUUGGAUAAAACAGGCUCUGCAUACCCUCACUCCCUCGCACGCACGCCACACUCAUACACUCUCAUACACACGUACGCACACCACGCACACAUACUUGGCCAUUGCUUUCCUUGACGGCGGUAAAGCAAUGGCAUUGCACUUCGUUUUCGGUGAAUGACGGCACACAAAACACAUUUGAUGAAGCACUGAAGGAUGUCUGGAUUCCAUGUUAUUGCAUCUAGCUGACGGCCCUUUUCCACUUUAACCGCCUACGGGUUCAACAUAAUGAAGAUCACACACCUACGAUAGGAGUCGCCUUAAUAGAGUUAAAUAUCCUAUCACCAGCCGUACUUAUGGCAUUCUUCCCGACCGAUGGUACCGGUUCCGCUGAACGUGAAGAUUGCAUCGGUUGACCAACGGGCUCUAAACUAUAUGUUGAAGAAUCAAACCAAUUGUUAUGUUAUAUAUAUAUAUGUACCCAUCUGUUGAAGAAUUAAACCAAAAAUAUAAAAAAAAUAUCACUUA
Drosophila subpulchrella is the source of this 689-nucleotide long non-coding RNA. RefSeq lists it as uncharacterized. NCBI's taxonomy places the organism in Eukaryota, Metazoa, Arthropoda, Insecta, Diptera, Drosophilidae. The record is from RefSeq and is a predicted model, not a curated record. The transcript is spliced from 5 exons.